Molecule: long non-coding RNA, 771 nt
Organism: Prionailurus viverrinus (fishing cat)
Lineage: Eukaryota; Metazoa; Chordata; Mammalia; Carnivora; Felidae
Exons: 5
Source: RefSeq, a predicted model, not a curated record
UACAAGGGUGGGAACACAGCGUCAGAAGGGUUUUCCCAGCAAAAGUGGGAGAAAUGAGGAACAGAGGGAAAACCUUCCCUUGCUCUCCAACGGAUUUGUGUCCACAUUCCCUCACCGGGUUUCCUUUGGCCCUCUAGAACAUGAAUGGUGAAAUUGCCUGGGAAUAAUACAAACAGUGUUUGCCUGAGAAACGCAAAAGAAAACUCAGCACUAGGCUUGCGGGGUGAGAGGUCUCCGUGUUCAGAGCACAAGAGGACUUGGAAGAAUGAGCUAUCGGACGAGUAGCUUUCGAGGUGGGAGUAGGAGAGUUCAGGGAAGUUUCAUGACUUGAGAAGUGACGAUGAGAAGUAGACACGGAAGGAAGCGCCAGGAGCUCAGAAGUGGGUGUGGACCUAACUCUGUCACACUACAGUAUGAGAAACGCCACAUCGCUUUAUUUUUCUAAAUGAAAUGAACGCAUCCUUCCCCACUCAAAAAGGUUGCGAAAUGCGUAACUCACUUCCGGAAGAUGGUCAUCACCGAGUGUCGAAAAACGCCUUGCGCUUCAAGGGUUAACCUGUAAACAGGAAGAAUGUCUCUGUGAACAAGAUAUAGUGAUCCAAUUGGAAUGAGCCAAGGAAAGGAAGAAGCUUAAACGUGACUGGCUGCCAUGUGCUUCUUCUCUUUGCCUUCCCAUAAGAUGGAACACAGCUACAUGGCUCAGCCAGCUUCAAUCACUCAGAUAAGGACCAUAAUCUAGGAACUGGAGAAGCAAAAAAAAAAAAAAAAAAA